RNAcentral lists this ribosomal RNA (253 nucleotides) under uncultured bacterium. RNAcentral's name for it is "partial 16S ribosomal RNA". It matches the Rfam family "Bacterial small subunit ribosomal RNA", at positions 524 to 775 of the family's 1533-position model. The record is from RNAcentral.
CACGUAGGGGACGAGCGUUGUCCGGAAUUAUUGGGCGUAAAGCGCGCGUAGGCGGUCGUGCAAGUCGGAUGUGAAAAUCCCGGGCUCAACCCGGGACCUGCACCCGAUACUGCUCGACUCGAGGUAGGUAGGGGAGAUCGGAAUUCCUGGUGUAGCGGUGAAAUGCGCAGAUAUCAGGAGGAACACCGGUGGCGAAGGCGGAUCUCUGGGUCUUACUCUGACGCUGAGGCGCGAAAGCUAGGGGAGCGAACGG